GAGUCGGACGCUCGUCAUUGGCAUGUAAUGGCCUCCACAAAGGACUCCAACAGGUUCUCUCUCUCCCUCUCUCUCUCUCCAUGGCUUCUCCUGCUCUUCUUCGUCUUCUUCUUCUUUUCUUUACGGUCGCUUCUCCUUCCUUGUGUUGUAGGGCUUCGGGAGAGAGAGAAACCGGCGACCCUUCGAAGGGGAUGAUCACCCUGGCAUCGGUGAGGGAUUCUCUAAUCAGGCAGGAGGACACCAUCGUGUUCAGUCUCAUAGAGAGGGCCAGGUUCCCGUACAACGCCCCGGUGUACGACCCUUCGUUCCUGGGGUCAGGCCAGUCCCUUGUCGAGCUUUUCGUUAGAGAGUCCGAGGCUCUUCAUGCCAAGGUCCCUUUCCCUAGUUUCUUUUUGCCUUUUUUCUUUCUUUCCCCUGUUUAUUCUAUGUUCUGGAAUUAAUUGGAUCCUGAUAAAAAUCUGCUAAUAUUAGAUGUUAUUAGUCUAUAUAAUUUUAGCUGGUGACAGGUCCGAUUUGUGCAUAAACCUAUCCCACUCUCAAGGAAUUGGUUUUUUGUGAUUGGACCUUUGGUGUUUACACUAUAUCCUUGAGAGGGAAAAAGAAAAAAAAAUGGUCUCAAGGAAUUGGUUAUUUGGGUCUUAUCAUUAUUUUCUCUGCUGCGACUGAUGGGACUGUAACAGAAUGAUUUAUUGGAAGAUUUGAUCAUACUUCUAAAAGACAAGAAGCAUAUGGAGUUCGGUCUUUGUCAUGUCUUGAUGAUCCCUUUAGAUCAAUUUAGAUCUUAGGAACUAUCAUUCUACCACCACUAUGAAGGGGAAUGUUUGACUAGUUAUGAAGGGUUGCUUAGAUGUUCAAAAAUAUUAUAAUAAUAGCACACCUUAAGCAUCCAUUUGUAGUUUCAUACACUGGGAAGCAGCAGGUUGGCAGCUAGCUCAGUUGAGAACAAGAGUUUGAGUUGGAAGAACAUGAGAGAUUAGACAGAUAUGCAAACACCCACUCCCAACUAAAGUACGUUCGUCAUGUAAUUGUGAUACCUAUCUAUGGAUGUUAUAAAACAGUCUGCCUCUGAUGAAAUAACUCGUGGAGCCCCAGGCCCAA
This 1098-nucleotide long non-coding RNA is filed under the name Elaeis guineensis (African oil palm). RNAcentral describes it as "long non-coding RNA (EGUI_LNC047803)". The record is from RNAcentral. Lineage: Eukaryota; Viridiplantae; Streptophyta; Magnoliopsida; Arecales; Arecaceae.